CACAGUUUGUCACUUAAUACUAUCUUAUAUUGACUUCUAUGAAACAUAAAUUUUUAAUUUUAAUGAUUGAUGGAUCAAUUUAAUUUUUAAAUAUUGAACCAGUCUGGCAUGCUUAAGACAAAUCACCCUUGGUUAUAAUGAAUAAUUCCUUUUUUCUUGUAAUUUUUUUUGUUUGAUUUUGGUGUUAGGGUAAUGUUGCCCUCAGUAAAUUAAGAAGUAUUCCCUCUGCUUCUAUCUUUUAGAAGAGAUUGUACUGAAUUGGUAUAAUUUCUUUCUUUGAUGAUGUUUGAGAGAGUUCCACAGUGAACUCAACUUGGUGCCUCUAUUUGGAAGAUUAUUUUUUAGUUUUUAAUAAUUAAAUGCCUUUAUCAGUUAAAAUAUAGAUUAUUUAUGUUUUCUUUGAUGGGAGUUUUGGGAAAAUGGUCUCGUUGAAGGAAUUAAUCCAUUACAACUAAGUUAUCUAAUUUUAGGUCUUAGAAUUCAUAAUAUUCCUUUUAGUGUCUACAGGACUUGAAGGAGGAUCCCCUCUUUGAUUUCUUGUAUUUAUAAUUGUGUCUUCUAUCUCUUUUAACCUGGCCAGAGGACUAUUGAUUUUAUUGUUUUUGAAAGAACCAGCUUUUGAGUUGACCUAUUUUUAAAAAAUUUGGGAUCCCUGAAGAAAUAACAGAGCAAAGCAUAUAUAAAAUCACCAAUGAAUCCUAAUAACUCAAGAGGCUGGGGUAGGAGGAUUGUAAAUCCAAGGCUAGCCGCAGCAAUUUAAUGAAACUCUAAGCAAUUUAGUGAGUCCCUGUCUCAAAAUUAAAAAAAAAAAUUAAGGAGAAUUAGGGAUGUAACUCAGUAGUAGUGGAGCACCUCUGAUUUCAAUCCUUAGUUUAAAAAAAUUCGGUUAAGCAGUCUUCCAUUUGUAGAAAAUGAAAUAUUUGAAUUAACAUAUGGUGGCAGGGAUUAUUGAAGAAGGUAAUUCUAAGGUCAAUUUGCAGAAAUAAAUGAAAAAGGGAUGAUGAUAAAGUCAGGGAUUCCUGUGAGAAUGAUUUUCUCAUUGUCUGUCUAAAUAGCUCGAUUUCUGCACUAAAAAGCAGCUUUGGAAAAAGAAAGGUAGAAACAAACAUCUGAGUCAUUGCAGCUCAUUUCAACAUGAAUUUAUUAAAUCCUAACUAAAAUAGUUCUCUCCUGUGUUAGAGAUAAUCUGAGGACAAAAGGAAUAUGUAACUAGGGAAAUGACCUGAACAGGGCUAAUCCUGAUAGGUGCCAAGUUUGAGAAUUCAUGUGCCUUAUGUUAUGGCAGGAAAAAAUAAUUCUGAUGACUAGAGCACAGAGGUAAGGUAACAUACAGAAUCAAGAUGAUUACAAAUUUUCAAGCCUGGGAUACUUAAUCCUGGGAAAAUUAGAAUGUCUGUCAUUAUUUUUAUAAUCUAACAAUGCUACUAAUUCUUGUGUUAAACUUAAAAUUCGGAAAACCUUGCCCACUGAGAAAUACCUGGAUGUUACAAAGUAUGUAACAGACAUACUUAAUAUUUCUCAGUUUAUAUCAACUGAGGGAGAUUAGGCAUGGAAAUUUAAAAGAAAUGAUAGAGUAAUUAAAAUGUGUUACUAUAUAUCUACUAUAAUUCCUGAAAAAUAAGAAAAAAGGAGAUGUAACAUUUGAAAAAGUGAUGGCUACAAAUUUUCCAAAAUUAAUGGAAAACAUGAAUUCUUUUACACCUUUAUUAGAGAGUUUAAAAGAGGCAAUUAGUGCAUUUUUUUCUAAUUUUCAUAUACUCUCCCAUUUUCUCAUUAUUAAAUAUUUUUACUUUGUCAAUGCAUAAAAUAUCGACAUUGUUAUCCUUAUUAUCAUUGGAACGUAAAUAAAAUCAACUACAUAAAUGUGCUUUGUAAAAUAUAAAACAAUACAUUUUUUCAGUUCCUUUAUCCCUUUUUUCAAACCUUGCUUUUUAAUUUCUCCCUUAUUCAAAGUAUAAUUGGGUUUUAGAAAGAUCAGAGCAGGUACUUCAUAUUUAGCCUAUAAACUCUUUUCUGUUAAUGCCAAUCAUUAAGUUCUUUGUUCACUCAUACAUAUUUCUAUCCAUAAGAUAAAAACUGGCAUUUCUGGAAUCAAUUACAAUUAGAACUAAUACUGUUGUCUUACCUAAAGAAUAAAUGCACAAUGGCACUCAAUUUUAUGUUAUUACUCAUCCUCAAAAACCCUAGCUAAUAAGUACCAAAUAUUGAUGGCUUCACUGAUUUUCUUUUGAACAGUAAGAAAAUGUUAGAUAUUCCAUUUCUUUUUCUUUAAGUGGUAGAAUUUAUGUCAUUGUUCCAACUGCAGGUGGCACUGAGUGACUUGUCAGUUCUGCUCCUGGUUAUUCUUUCUUACCCUAGAAGUGUACAGAAUACUACACAUCAUGAAUCAUGCUGAGCGAAAAGUAUGAUAAAUAUUUCCUUUGAGGAAAAAGUUUCAUGUGGGAAACCAUUUUCUCUUUUAUCUAUUGUGCUUCUCAGAGUCCAGCCAGAACCACAGCUGUUUAAUUUAUUUGAUAUAUCUUGGUGUCUAGCAUGGUGACGUGAACAUAUAGACAUUUGAUAAAUGUUACAUCAUGAUAAUUGUGGCUAUCAUUAUUAAGGUGGUUAUGGAACCUAUUCAAAGAAUUCGAUGCCAUGACUUCAUGGUAAGGUAUGUUUUGUCUCUAGAUUUCUCCCUUAAUAGAGGCCUUGAAUAUGCUAUAUUUGUUUAAAUAAUCAGAGAGACAUAGGAAGGAAUUAAAGGACAACUGGUCUAUGCACAUUAUUUUACAUGAGACGAAUAGGAGAACAGGGAGGUUUGACUUGUUCAAUAUACAGUGUGAAGUCAGUUCCAGAUAUGGGAUAAAGAACUUGUUCUUCCAAUCCAAGUUUUCCAUUAUACUGAAACUAAAAUUUGCUUUUGCUAUUAUACAAUGGUAAUUUACAGCUCUUACUCAAAAAUCAUGUUUUAGAAUUAUGCUUUGGAAUUCACAAUGGAAUAAAAAGAAUAAAGAAAUGAAAAUAGUUUGAUAUGAUAUGUUUCCUCCUAAUUUGGAAAUUUUGACAGAGUGGGUGGGCCCACUCCAUUUUAUCAGGCAUUAUUGAAUAGUUACAAAAUCCAGAGCUAAGAAAAUACAAUUAAGUCUAGUUGGGUAGCCAGUUUUAAACCCAACUGAAAAAAAAAAUCCCUGACAAUUAAAGUGAUGAGAAUUGAGAAUUUCAGGGAUUGUGUUAAUAUUUAGUAUGUGAAGAAUUAAAAAAAAAAUAGAGGUUUACAUCCCUGGUGGGAAGACCAGUGCUGAAAGCAAAUCUCCUUUAUGUUGAUCUGGGUAUCAAUUUCUGUUGAAGAAUUGGGAUCUCAUGAUACAGAAUAUCAUAUGUAUUCUGACAUUAAUGAUUUUCAUCAGCUGAGGCAAAGAGAUGUUGUUUGAGAUGAAAAUCUGAACAUCCUAAAGCAGGCUUGAUGCAAAAUGCAGCUACCACAACAAACCUCAAAAGACGCUUGUUCAUUUGGUUAAUUUUGUAGCCAAGAGCUUUAUUUCAUAAUUCUGGAAAUGAACCAAUUCCCUGUUCCCUCACUACAUUUCAACACUGAAUAAAUACAAUGCUGGACUUGGCCCACUGAAAACAACCUGCUAUCACUCAUGCAGGCAAAGCCAGGGACUCUGAAUUGAUUUGGUCCUCCUUCUGGGUUGUGGUAGGGAAAAUAAACGCACACAAUGACUUAUGACUGUUUCUUCAGGUGACUUGCACCUUGGCUGACUUGAUUUGGCUGACUUGCUGAUGGGACCACGGAGAGACCUUCAUCUGCUUCCCAGCAACCAAAGAGCACGGUGACUGAUAGACGGAUGGAUGUCAGUGCUUCUACCUCUACUCUGUACCACUAGAUUUCACCAUCUGUCUUGAGGAAGGACUUAAAGUUUGUACUUCUUGCUGUCCCAGCUUCUAGCAUGUAACCUGGCACUCAGACAAAAAAGAAAGGGGAAGGGGAAAUUAGGAAAGAAAUGCCAAAGAGUUAUCUCCAAUUUUUUUUUUUUUUACUAAGAAUUCUAAGAAACAUUGAUAGUACUACAUGAACAUUUCCUUAUGUUUCCCCAUAAUCAAAAUACCAAGAAAUUAUGAUUAUCAUGAUCCCUCAUUUCAUAAAUGUAAUAUGUAUUCAGUACUUCUUUAAAUUAAGGUGCCAAUUGGAAGUUUUUAAAAGUGUGUCAAAACAAA
This is a long non-coding RNA of Ictidomys tridecemlineatus (thirteen-lined ground squirrel), 4197 nucleotides long. RefSeq lists it as uncharacterized. Lineage: Eukaryota; Metazoa; Chordata; Mammalia; Rodentia; Sciuridae. The record is from RefSeq and is a predicted model, not a curated record.